Non-coding RNA from Peromyscus maniculatus bairdii (prairie deer mouse), 260 nucleotides. The record is from RefSeq and is a predicted model, not a curated record. NCBI's taxonomy places the organism in Eukaryota, Metazoa, Chordata, Mammalia, Rodentia, Cricetidae.
GGCCUUCCAGAACCCUAAGUCUGGCUUUUGUGGGACCUCUGGCCAUCCUCCUGACAGCUGCCACAGUUCGUCCCCAGAAACGGGGAUCUCAUUGGCUCUGUUAGCUGCUUUUCUCACUGCUGACAAUUACCUAACAAAAGCAACUCACGGAGGGAAAGUCCAGGACUCCAGCCCGUCGCAGAAUGGUGUCCCUCGUAUUCAGGGAUGCUAAACGGUGAAGGUGGACUGUGCAGAGCUCCGGAGAACACCGCUGGAUUGCG